Populus nigra (black poplar) is the source of this 1233-nucleotide long non-coding RNA. RefSeq lists it as uncharacterized. The record is from RefSeq and is a predicted model, not a curated record. The transcript is spliced from 2 exons. NCBI's taxonomy places the organism in Eukaryota, Viridiplantae, Streptophyta, Magnoliopsida, Malpighiales, Salicaceae.
GGGAGUAUAGGUUACAUUGAGGAGAAAGCAAGAGGGAACAGAGUAGGAGAACGUAAGAAAUAGGCGAGAGAGGCGAGAACAACAGAAGGAAAAAAAAAGGGAACAAAAGCAGGGGGGGAGGAGAACAUCAGAGGAAAGUAAGAAAACCAGAGGGGGGAACGAGACAACGAGGGGAGAAAACAGAAAAGGCAACGAGAAAAAGAAAUAAAAACCAGAGAGGAGUGUAAAGAAGAGAGAGGCAGAGGGAAGGAGCAGGAAGAGAGAAAGCAAAGAGAAGGCGAAACCAACAGAGGAGAACGAGACAGCAAAGUCAGAAAACGCGACACCGACAGAAGAGUUGAGCCACCAUCUGCUCUUUUCUCUUCCAGAACGAAGGAAAUACCAGAGGAAGCCACCAUCACCACCGGCUUCACUUUCUUCAGAACCAGGGAACCAGCAGAGGAGGCCAGCAUCACCACAGGAUUUUCCUUCUCCAGAAUCACGAACCCAGCAGAGCAGCACAACCAUCGACCUCCUUUCUCCAAAACCAGUCUCCAGAACGAUGGAAACAACAGAGGAAGCCACCAUCACCAUCGGCUUCACUUUCUUCAGAACCAGGGAACCAGCAGAGGAGGCCAGCAUCACCAUAGGCUUUUCCUUCUCCAGAAUCACGAAGCCAGCGGAGUAGGUUAGCGCAACCAUCAGCUUCCUUUCUCCAAAACCAGAAGGAUUGUCAACUCAAAUUAACAAAGCUUCGAAGGAUUAUCAAAUUCGUGGCUUGACUGUCCAUGGAAGAGCUCCACCAGUCUCCCAUCAAUUCCUUAAGAAGGAUGAGAGUCCCGUGUUCUCCAUUCUCCAGAGUUAACAACCAAUAGGUGGAAACUUCGUUUCAAGCAUUGCAAACUCACUGCAACCUUCGAUAAAUCUGAGCUCUCUUUUAGCCGAUAAGUGUUCAAAAAGAUAAUUUGUUUUAAUUUGUUUUUUUUAGUUUAUUUGAUUUGAAAUAUUUUGGGUUAUGUUUUAUAAUUAAAUUUUUUUAAUUUUAUUUUUUAAUAUUUAAGCUAAUUAAAAAUUAAAUUUUAUAAUUUAUUUUUUAAAAUGUUAUCUAUCUCAGUCUCAAUUUAAGUCAAGGGUUUAACGGGUUUCUCAUUUCAAGAUCCGUACAUUUCACCCUCAAACAUCCUGUUUUUCCAGCUUUUAUUAGCAGUGUCAUCACUAUCAAUGAAUACCCACCUUUUGAAAUAUAUAAUAAAA